This 630-nucleotide small RNA is filed under the name Oryza sativa Japonica Group (Japanese rice). Its description in RNAcentral is "sRNA Os02g0724300". Lineage: Eukaryota; Viridiplantae; Streptophyta; Magnoliopsida; Poales; Poaceae. The record is from RNAcentral.
AAAGCGACCGCGGCGGCGACAGAGCCUGGCGACGGCGCCCUCCUCCCCCCCUCCCGCGCGCGCGCAGCGGCUUCCCGCGCCGCUCCGGUCGACCACCGGCUCCACCCCGUCCUCCUCUCCUCGUUGCGGUGGCCCCCUUCCUCGGCAGCGGUGAUGACCUCCUCCUCCAUCCCCCUCUUGCGGUGGUCGAGCAGCGGCGGCGACGACGCCCUCUCCAAGCGGCUGUGGCGGUGCCCUCCCCCACCGUGAGCAGCGGCGGUGGAGGUGCCCUCCUGCGGCUUCCCACGGGCGGAUCCGGCGGCGACGUCGGCUUCCCGCGUCGGUCCAGUCGACCACCGGCUCCACCCCGUCCUCCUCUCCUCAUUGAGGCAGCCCCCUUCCCCGGCAGCGGCUACGACCUCCUCCUAGUUGGGCGCAGGAGUAGGCGGCGGUUGGAGCAGGUGUUGCGGUGGCGGACACGACAGCGACGAGCUGGUGGCGGUGGCGGGCACGCUAGGGCUCCUCUCUUUGUGAUGAAUUUUUAAGAGAUUUGUUUUUCAUUUUUUUCUCUUUUUAGUUGAUUUUCCCCUUGUGAUUGAAUCUGUGAUGAAUUGGCUUCCCAACGAGGUGAAUCUGUGAUGAAUCGGCUGC